RNAcentral lists this ribosomal RNA (60 nucleotides) under Trichophyton rubrum. Its description in RNAcentral is "partial 28S ribosomal RNA". The record is from RNAcentral. Lineage: Eukaryota; Fungi; Ascomycota; Eurotiomycetes; Onygenales; Arthrodermataceae.
UUGACCUCGGAUCAGGUAGGGAUACCCGCUGAACUUAAGCAUAUCAAUAAGCGGGGAGGA